AUUACCUGGGCAUCUUGUUAAAAUGCAGGCUCUGAUUCAGGAGCUCUGGAAUGGGGCCUGAGAUUCUGCAUUUUUAACAAGCUCCUAGAAGAUGCUAG
This 98-nucleotide microRNA precursor is filed under the name Canis lupus familiaris (dog). RNAcentral describes it as "mir-544 microRNA precursor family". It matches the Rfam family "mir-544 microRNA precursor family". RNAcentral also lists the same sequence under 1 other name. Lineage: Eukaryota; Metazoa; Chordata; Mammalia; Carnivora; Canidae. The record is from Rfam by way of RNAcentral.